RNAcentral lists this ribosomal RNA (253 nucleotides) under uncultured bacterium. RNAcentral's name for it is "partial 16S ribosomal RNA". It matches the Rfam family "Bacterial small subunit ribosomal RNA", at positions 524 to 776 of the family's 1533-position model. The record is from RNAcentral.
UACGUAGGGUGCAAGCGUUAAUCGGAAUUACUGGGCGUAAAGCGUGCGCAGGCGGUCGUGCAAGACAGAUGUGAAAUCCCCAGGCUUAACCUGGGAACUGCAUUCGAGACUGCAUUGCUAGAGUAUGGGAGAGGGAAGUGGAAUUUCAGGUGUAGCGGUGAAAUGCGUAGAUAUCUGAAGGAACAUCAGUGGCGAAAGCGACUUCCUGGACCAAUACUGACGCUCAUGUGCGAAAGCGUGGGGAGCAAACAGG